UACGUAGGGGGCAAGCGUUGUCCGGAAUCAUUGGGCGUAAAGCGCGUGUAGGCGGCUGAGUAAGUCUGCUCUGAAAGCCCGGGGCUCAACCCCAAGAGACAAGUGGAUACUGCUCAGCUCGAGUCCGGAAGAGGAGUGUGGAAUUCCUGGUGUAGCGGUGAAAUGCGCAGAUAUCAGGAGGAACACCAAUGGCGAAGGCAGCACUCUGGGACGGUACUGACGCUGAGACGCGAAAGCGUGGGGAGCAAACAGG
Molecule: ribosomal RNA, 253 nt
Filed under: uncultured bacterium
Lineage: Bacteria
Description: partial 16S ribosomal RNA
Rfam family: Bacterial small subunit ribosomal RNA
Source: RNAcentral